CGAAAGCCUGACGGAGCAAGACCGCGUGAGGGAGGAAGGCUCUUGGGUUGUAAACCUCUUUUCUCAGGGAAGAAGCUCUGACGGUACCUGAGGAAUCAGCCUCGGCUAACUCCGUGCCAGCAGCCGCGGUAAGACGGAGGAUGCAAGCGUUAUCCGGAAUUAUUGGGCGUAAAGCGUCCGCAGGUGGCGAUUCAAGUCUGCUGUCAAAGCACGGGGCUUAACUCCGUUAAGGCAGUGGAAACUGAAUGGCUAGAGUGCCGUAGGGGUAGAGGGAAUUCCCGGUGUAGCGGUGAAAUGCGUAGAGAUUGGGAAGAACACCGGUGGCGAAAGCGCUCUACUGGACCACACCUGACGCUCAGAGGACGAAAGCUAGGGGAGCG
RNAcentral lists this ribosomal RNA (380 nucleotides) under uncultured cyanobacterium. RNAcentral's name for it is "bacterial SSU rRNA". It matches the Rfam family "Bacterial small subunit ribosomal RNA", at positions 376 to 770 of the family's 1533-position model. Lineage: Bacteria; Bacillati; Cyanobacteriota. The record is from RNAcentral.